CCUACGGGGGGCAGCAGUGGGGAAUAUUGCACAAUGGGGGAAACCCUGAUGCAGCGACGCCGCGUGAGUGAGGAAGUAUUUCGGUAUGUAAAGCUCUAUCAGCAGGGAAGAAAAUGACGGUACCUGACUAAGAAGCCCCGGCUAACUACGUGCCAGCAGCCGCGGUAAUACGUAGGGGGCAAGCGUUAUCCGGAUUUACUGGGUGUAAAGGGAGCGUAGACGGCUAAUCAAGUCAGAAGUGAAAACCCAGGGCUCAACUUUGGGACUGCUUUUGAAACUGAGUAGCUAGAGUGCAGGAGAGGUAAGCGGAAUUCCUAGUGUAGCGGUGAAAUGCGUAGAUAUUAGGAGGAACACCAGUGGCGAAGGCGGCUUACUGGACUGUAACUGACGUUGAGGCUCGAAAGCGUGGGGAGCAAACAGGAUUAGAUACCCUAGUAG
This 438-nucleotide ribosomal RNA is filed under the name uncultured bacterium. Its description in RNAcentral is "bacterial SSU rRNA". It matches the Rfam family "Bacterial small subunit ribosomal RNA", at positions 338 to 793 of the family's 1533-position model. The record is from RNAcentral.